GUGUGUGUGCUCGUGUGUGUAUGUGUGUCACAAGCAGAGCCUGUCCCCCGUCCACAGAGCCACUGAGUUCAUGCUCUGCCUGGGGCUCACCAGCAUUAUUACUGGGAUCAUCUUUUGCACGAUCUGUGACCAGAAGAGGAUCGGCUGCCUCAGCUUCCACCAGGGUGUGUGCCUGAGAACACCAAGAGCUGCCUCGUUCCUCCUCUCACUGGUGAAAAAGCAACAGAGGCUGAUGAAGAUUACAGGCUGGACCAGCUACUCAGGGGGAUCUGCCACACCAUGAUGGUGCAGAUAUUGUCCUCAUGACGGGACUGCUUGGUCUUCCUGUUGACCCUGCGGUGGCCCAGACCUCCGGAUACCACCAGCAGCGAGCUGACGUCCACCUUGCUGGCCCGGCGGACCCUCUGGUGGUGGGCUGGGUCAUGGAGCAAGUCGUAAAGGGCUCCGUCCUCGGGCCCGUGUUCCAGGGAGCCCUGGGACGGAGCCAGGGAGCCGCAGGACGAGGAGGACAGGGAGUCCUGAAGAGCCAUGGUGGUGCAGCCCGCCUCUCCCAGCCACACGCCUCGCCCCUGAGGGGGAGCCGGGGCUGAGUCCGGCGGGGGCGGCUGUGUCUUCUCCCCGUCCUCUGCCUCCGCUGGCUGGGCUGCAGCAGGAGGGUUGGUGGCUGGGAGGCCGGAGGGCCGGUUGCACACAGCAGCAGCCAUGUUGGAUAUUUGACACGCUGGUGUGUAGUUACCUGUGACUUUGGGGAUGCCCUGCAGUCUGGGGACAGAGAGGGCCACAGUCACCCCGAGGUUGGUUCCUACCAGGAGCAGACCAUAGCACACCAGCAGACUGCUC
Myripristis murdjan (pinecone soldierfish) is the source of this 840-nucleotide long non-coding RNA. RefSeq lists it as uncharacterized. The transcript is spliced from 5 exons. Lineage: Eukaryota; Metazoa; Chordata; Actinopteri; Holocentriformes; Holocentridae. The record is from RefSeq and is a predicted model, not a curated record.